CAAGGGUAUGGCUGUUCGCCAUUUAAAGUGGUACGCGAGCUGGGUUUAGAACGUCGUGAGACAGUUCGGUCCCUAUCUACCGUGGGCGUUUGAGACUUGAAGGAAGCUGCUCCUAGUACGAGAGGACCGGAGUGGACGUACCUCUGGUGUUCCGGUUGUCACGCCAGUGGCAUUGCCGGGUAGCUAUGUACGGACAGGAUAACCGCUGAAAGCAUCUAAGCGGGAAGCCUCUCCUAAGAUGAGGUCUCACUGGGAAUUUGAUUCCCCUGAAGGGUCCUGGAAGACUACCAGGUUGAUAGGCUGGGUGUAGAAGUGCAGUAAUGCAUGAAGCUAACCAGUACUAAUUGCCCGUGCGACUUGACCAU
RNAcentral lists this ribosomal RNA (365 nucleotides) under Gammaproteobacteria bacterium. Its description in RNAcentral is "partial 23S ribosomal RNA". It matches the Rfam family "Bacterial large subunit ribosomal RNA", at positions 2566 to 2925 of the family's 2925-position model. Lineage: Bacteria; Pseudomonadati; Pseudomonadota; Gammaproteobacteria. The record is from RNAcentral.